AAGUCGUAACAAGGUCUCCGUUGGUGAACCAGCGGAGGGAUCAUUACUGAGUACUACACUCUCUACCCUUUGCGAACUAUUAUACCUGUUGCUUCGGCGGCGCCCGCAAGGGUGCCCGCCGGUCUCAUCAGAAUCUCUGUUUUCGAACCCGACGAUACUUCUGAGUGUUCUUAGCGAACUGUCAAAACUUUUAACAACGGAUCUCUUGGCUCCAGCAUCGAUGAAGAACGCAGCGAAACGCGAUAUGUAAUGUGAAUUGCAGAAUUCAGUGAAUCAUCGAAUCUUUGAACGCACAUGGCGCCUUCCAGUAUCCUGGGAGGCAUGCCUGUCCGAGCGUCGUUUCAACCCUCGAGCCCCUGUGGCCCGGCGUUGGGGAUCUGCCACGGCAGGCCCCUAAAACCAGUGGCGGACCCGAAGGGCCCUCUCCUUUGCGCAGUAGCAUUCGCCUCGCAUCGGGAGUCCUCGGCGUCCUGCCUCUAAACCCCCCACAAGCCCGCUUCGGCGGCACCAAGGUUGACCUCGGAUCAGGUAGGAAUACCCGCUGAACUUAA
RNAcentral lists this ribosomal RNA (551 nucleotides) under uncultured fungus. RNAcentral's name for it is "eukaryotic LSU rRNA". The stretch from base 186 to 339 matches the Rfam family "5.8S ribosomal RNA". The record is from RNAcentral. Lineage: Eukaryota; Fungi.